Molecule: ribosomal RNA, 377 nt
Filed under: uncultured organism
Description: partial 16S ribosomal RNA
Rfam family: Bacterial small subunit ribosomal RNA
Source: RNAcentral
GUAGGUGGCAAGCGUUGUCCGGAAUUAUUGGGCGUAAAGCGCGCGCAGGCGGUUCUUUAAGUCUGAUGUGAAAGCCCACGGCUCAACCGUGGAGGGUCAUUGGAAACUGGAGAACUUGAGUACAGAAGAGGAAAGCGGAAUUCCACGUGUAGCGGUGAAAUGCGUAGAGAUGUGGAGGAACACCAGUGGCGAAGGCGGCUUUCUGGUCUGUAACUGACGCUGAGGCGCGAAAGCGUGGGGUAGCAAACCAGGGAUUAGAUACCCUGGUAGUCCACGCCGUAAACGAUGAGUGCUAAGUGUUAGGGGGUUUACCCGCCCCGUUAGUGCUGCAGCUAACGCAUUAAGCACUCCGCCUGGGGAGUACGGCCGCAAGGCUG